AAAUUAGUAUUUAAUGUAAAUUUAUGUAAUUUUGCAAAAGCACCCUUUUCUUGGCUGAAAUAUCUUUUCAACCCUCAAAAGUCUAAAUUUUCAUAUCGCUCACACCAAGCACAGCAGGCAUCGAAAGUCCUCCAGUUGCCAUGGCAAUGAAUGCCUUCUUGUUCUCUCUCAAACCCACGCUCAAAGCUUUACCUUCUCUCUCUCCUCCAACUACUCGUUCCCAACUGACUCCUCCUCCUCCAGUUCAGCCACGAAACCCUACUUAUGGCUUCCUUCAGAAUCCAAAAGCCAUGGUAGGUCUACUCGGAGUCGGGGCGGGCUUGACCCUAACCCUUAUGGGGCCCGCUUCAGCUAUCGAGUUGGGUUCUUUUCAACUCAGUGAGCCCUCCAACGCCCUUUCUCUUCCCACUUGGGCCGUUCAUGUUUCCAGUGUUGUUGAAUGGAUUACAGCAAUGGCUUUGGUAUGGCAAUAUGGAGAAAUUUCUGGGAAUGAAUCUUGGAAAGGCCUUUCUUGGGGUAUGGUACCCCUGCUGGGGGGAGCAUUUUGUGCGUGUACAUGGCAUUUCUUUUAUAACUCUGAGUCUCUUGAGGUACUGGUUGCUCUCCAAGCAGCCUUGACAGUUUUAGGCAAUGCCACAAUGUGUUUAGCUGCAUUUCGGAUAUACAAAUCAUCAGAAGAGCGUUCCAAGGAACUAUGAAGUCCAUCUAUAUGGUAUCCCAAAACACAUGAAUUGCUUCAUUUUAAAUGAAUUGGAAAAAUGAGACAACAUGAAGCUUCCCAUUUUUUUUUUCUUAACUUUGUGAAUUAGCUGAUGGCUGCAAGUGGAAUGAUUCAAGUAGUCUUUCAGUUAUAUAUAUAUAUAAAUGUAUGUAUGUAUAUAUACCUGUACUUUCGGAGAAUUCCAAAUUCAUUUAGCUGUGUAUUUUUUUUUUUUUUUUGAAGCAAGAGGAUUCAUCUGAAGCUUCUCUGGUUGGAUAAGCAUACGAGUACCAUUAAAAUAUUAUCUCCUUUGGCUUAAUUAUAAUGAAUAGCUUCAUCUGUGUUCUUUCCUUGGUCA
RNA transcript from Cannabis sativa, 1058 nucleotides. RefSeq lists it as uncharacterized. The transcript has 5 exons. The record is from RefSeq and is a predicted model, not a curated record. NCBI's taxonomy places the organism in Eukaryota, Viridiplantae, Streptophyta, Magnoliopsida, Rosales, Cannabaceae.